GGCACCGUCCCGGCGCGCAGCGGCACGUCCCACCACCCUCCUCCUCUCUCCGCGCAAAUUGGGGGUUCCCCCCUCCUCCCCUUCCCCGCCAACCCGAUGCCGCCGCAUCCGUAGGGAUGCUACACGGGCCAGGGCGUGGAGGUGCGGUCCAGCGCAGAGCUGGGGACUGCCCCCCCACCGCUCCUCCGGAUCAUCGCGGCAGCGUGGGGGCUUCUUCUUUCCGGAGCCUGCCUACAGCUGCAUUGAAGACGGCAGAGGCAGCGCACAGCAAAAUAUUUGGGAUGGUCUGCAUGGGACUGGUCACCGCUGCAGCGCACGGUAUAAACACUGCAAAGCUGACUUGCUGCAUUUUUCAUCAAGCAAAAGGACAAAGGAAAAUGAUGAUUUUAUGAUCAGAAGCAGUUCCAGGAAACCUCCAUCCUUGUGCAUACACACAGUGACCACCUUGAGGAAUACAACGAGUAUGUCCACACGUUCACUUACAAUGAAGGCCCAUGAAUGUUUCUUGCCAAACAUAACCUCCUUCAGCAAACUCAAGGGCAGAGAGCACAGAGCAUAUUUGGCACAGUGGCCUGCCACUGCCCUUACUCCUGCAGAUCACUUCCAAGAAAGAAAAGAUGCAAAGACAAAUCAAGUGAAAACAAGAAAAAUUGCAUAUUCUCCCUAGGACUGCCGCACUGCCUUCCUGAUCUGCCAAGACUUGGAAGCUGUCUUGACCUAAUGGAAAUAAGUGUGUUUUUUAGUAUAAGGACACAGAGCAUUUAGCAAAUGCCAUCCCAGCUCACUUUGGACUGUUCCUUGCAUCCUGCUGUGCAUCAGCUGGCAGGUAAACAGCAAAGAUCAGUUCACCCUCUACAGUAAAUGAAUUAAUGUGCUUCCUAAAAAGUGCAGUGAGCAUAAUGUGAACUAAGAGCCUGGUGGUCAGAGAAAGCAUUUCUGCCCAAAAUGGACCCAAAUGACUCCCUCCUGAUGCAAGCUGCUAGGAUCAGGGAGCAUUUUAAUCAGCUUUCAGAUCUGGUCAUCGGCAGCAGAUACUGUACCAUACCUACAAACCACAGUGACACAGCAAGUGACUUCAGCUGCUUCUUGUAGCAACUGCAAGAACAAUCUGUGGCCACACUCCAGAAGGAUGGAGCAGCCACAGGGAAUAAUAAUCUUCAGAUGCACCAGUCAGUCCUCUCACUCUGGCUCCCUCUUCACCUUAUCACCACUUCCAAAAAUAGGUUGCAGAUUGUACAGAAAGGACGUGGCUGAGGAGAUACUGUUCCUGGAACUCUGAAUUUCUACUUCAGCUGUCCUUGAGCCUCCACAAAAUAUUAGACUUAUGCCAACCCUUUAUCCAUGGAGUGCAGCACACUCCAGCCUGUUGGACACUAGAGCUAUGAGCACAGAUAUUUGCUGCUCUAGCAGUCCAUUUUCCCACCAGUGAGUGUCUAUACCUCUUCCUCGGCAUCGAUGGAGUAGUACAUCAUGGACAGAGGAGAUGUGCUUUGCCAUAUCCCAGGCUACAUUGCUCAGAAGAACACACAAAGAUCCUUUAACUGAAGAGCUAAGAUACUUCCAAGAUUGUGCUUGUUAGGCUGGACAAGGAUAGAAAAAAAAAAAAAGAAAAAUAAAAAAAGACAGAAAGAAACCACUCCCACCUUCUUCUUUUGAAAGAAUUAUGAUAAGUAAUGUAAUUCUCAUGUCUCAAUGAAAAACAUCUCUGUGAGUCAAAUUUGAAAAGAAAGCUUUUUUCCAGGAUGAUGCUACUUUUUUUUUCCCUUUUGCCUUAACAUGGCUCUAAAAAUCCAGUGGGGAUGCAGUUGGGUUCAAGGGCUCCAAUAGAUGCCAGGUCUUACAUCACCAUUGCUGUCUCCCAGCUUGUUACUGGGUUAUCUAUUGUCAGAUGGGAAUUUAUUGAAGGUGACAUUGCUUACAAAUUGAUCAAAAUCAGCUUCAGUGAGGUGUCCUUCCAAGAUAUAAAAAGAUGGAUAAAAUUCACUCAGUUGAUCAUUAAUAACUUCAGUCUGUGAAAUUGGUUAUCUCCCUUUGACAGACGAAAUAGAGUUUGCAGAUUGAACUGUUUUAAUCCUAUCUGAGAAGAAAUAUGACAGCCCUUCAAAUAUAUACCCAAUUAACUAUGUCUCUACCUUUUCAAUAAAACUAAUUCAAACAAA
Long non-coding RNA from Melospiza melodia melodia, 2159 nucleotides. RefSeq lists it as uncharacterized. The transcript is spliced from 2 exons. Lineage: Eukaryota; Metazoa; Chordata; Aves; Passeriformes; Passerellidae. The record is from RefSeq and is a predicted model, not a curated record.